Molecule: ribosomal RNA, 324 nt
Filed under: uncultured eukaryote
Lineage: Eukaryota
Description: partial 18S ribosomal RNA
Rfam family: Eukaryotic small subunit ribosomal RNA
Source: RNAcentral
CCCUUAGAUGUCCUGGGCCGCACGCGCGUUACACUGAUGCAUUCAACGAGUUUCUUCCUGGUCCGAGAGGAAUGGGUAACCUUUUGAAAGUGCAUCGUGAUAGGGAUAGACUAUUGCAAUUAUUGGUCUUCAACGAGGAAUUCCUAGUAGACGUAGUUCAUCAGACUGCAUCGAUUACGUCCCUGCCCUUUGUACACACCGCCCGUCGCUCCUACCGAUUGAAUGCUCAGGUGAGCCAUUCGGACCUUCAUCAUGCCGGUUUCCGGUUUUGAUGAGGGAAAGUCUUGCGAACCUUAUCAUUUAGAGGAAGGAGAAGUCGUAACA